UACUCGAGUGGCGAACGGGUGAGUAACACGUGGGUGAUCUGCCCUGCACUUCGGGAUAAGCCUGGGAAACUGGGUCUAAUACCGGAUAGGAGCCAUUUUUAGUGUGAUGGUUGGAAAGUUUUUUCGGUGUAGGAUGAGCUCGCGGCCUAUCAGCUUGUUGGCGGGGUAAUGGCCUACCAAGGCGGCGACGGGUAGCCGGCCUGAGAGGGUGGACGGCCACAUUGGGACUGAGAUACGGCCCAG
This 243-nucleotide ribosomal RNA is filed under the name uncultured Actinomycetales bacterium. RNAcentral's name for it is "partial 16S ribosomal RNA". It matches the Rfam family "Bacterial small subunit ribosomal RNA", at positions 88 to 334 of the family's 1533-position model. The record is from RNAcentral. Lineage: Bacteria; Bacillati; Actinomycetota; Actinomycetes; Actinomycetales.